CAGCAGCCGCGGUAAUACGAAGGGUGCAAGCGUUACUCGGAAUUACUGGGCGUAAAGCGUGCGUAGGUGGUGGUUUAAGUCCGUUGUGAAAGCCCUGGGCUCAACCUGGGAAUUGCAGUGGAUACUGGAUCACUAGAGUGUGGUAGAGGAUAGUGGAAUUUCCGGUGUAGCAGUGAAAUGCGUAGAGAUCGGAGGGAACAUCUGUGGCGAAGGCGACUAUCUGGGCCAACACUGACACUGAGGCACGAAAGCGUGGGGAGCAAACAGGAUUAGAUACCCGUGUAGUCCCUGUCUCUUAUAC
Molecule: ribosomal RNA, 301 nt
Filed under: uncultured bacterium
Lineage: Bacteria
Description: partial 16S ribosomal RNA
Rfam family: Bacterial small subunit ribosomal RNA
Source: RNAcentral